Molecule: ribosomal RNA, 422 nt
Filed under: uncultured bacterium
Lineage: Bacteria
Description: bacterial SSU rRNA
Rfam family: Bacterial small subunit ribosomal RNA
Source: RNAcentral
UCUUCCGCAAUGGACGAAAGUCUGUCGGAGCAACGCCGCGUGAGUGAUGAAGGUUUUCGGAUCGUAAAACUCUGUUGUUAGGGAAGAACAAGUACUGUUCGAAUAGGGCGGCACCUUGACGGUACCUAACCAGAAAGCCACGGCUAACUACGUGCCAGCAGCCGCGGUAAUACGUAGGUGGCAAGCGUUAUCCGGAAUUAUUGGGCGUAAAGCGCGCGCAGGCGGUUUCUUAAGUCUGAUGUGAAAGCCCCCGGCUCAACCGGGGAGGGUCAUUGGAAACUGGGGAACUUAGGUGCAGAAGAGGAGGGUGGAAUUCCACGUGUAGCGGUGAAAUGCGUAGGGAUGUGGAGGAACACCAGUGGCGAAGGCGACUCUCUGGUCUGUAACUGACGCUGAGGCGCGAAAGCGUGGGGGGCGAACAG